Molecule: small RNA, 5916 nt
Filed under: Pan troglodytes (chimpanzee)
Lineage: Eukaryota; Metazoa; Chordata; Mammalia; Primates; Hominidae
Description: retained intron
Source: RNAcentral
AUAGUCACUCCCUACUUCCCCCUCCCCACAAAUCCUAGGCAACCAGUAAUCUACUUUCUGUCUGUAUAGAUUUGCCUAUUAUGGACAUUUCAUGUUAUUCAUUUCAUGGUCUCCUGUGACUGGAUUCUUUCACUUAGGAUAAUGUUUUGAAGGUACACCCAUGUUGUAGCAUGUAUCGGUACUUCAUUAUUAUUUCUGGAUAAUACCUCAUUGUAUGGAUAUACCUCAUUUUGUUUAUCCAUUCAUCAGUUAGUGGACGUUUGGGUUGUGUCCACUUUUGGCUAUUAUGAAUAAUGCUGCUGUGAAUAUCUGUAUGUAAGUAUUUGUGUACCUGUUUUCAGUUCUUUUAUGUAUAUACUAGAAAUAUAGUUGCUGGGUCAUGUGGUAACUAUGUUUUGCUUUUUGAGGAACUGCCAAGCUGUUCUCCAAAAUGGUUGCAUUAUUUUACAUUCUUGUAAGCAAGGUACCAGAGUUUCAGUUUCUCCGCAUCUUUAUCAACAUUUGUUAUUAUCUUUCCUUUUUUACUACUGUCAUCCUGAUAGAUGUUAAGUGAUAUCUCAUUGUGGUUUUGAUUUGCUGAUAGCUAAUGAUGCUGAGCAUCUUUCCCAUGUGCUCUCAUUAACCGUAUGUGUGUUUUCUUUGGAGGAAUGCCCAUUCAGAUCCUUUGCCCAUUUUUAAUUGGGCUAUUUGACUUUUUAUUCUUAAAUUGUAAGAGUUCUUUCUGUGUUCUGGAUACCAGUACCCUAUAUCUGGUAUGUGAUUUCCAAGUAUUUUCUCCACUCUCUAAGUUGUCUUUUCACUUUCUUGAUGGUAUCAUUUUUAGCACAAAAGUCUUUAAUUCUGAUGAAACCCAAUUUACCUAUUUUUCCUUUGGUCAUUUAUGCUUUUGGUGUCAUAUCUAAGAAACUAUUGUUUAGUCCCAAGUUUUCUUCUAGUAUGUUUAUAACAUACUACCUCUUACAUUUAGGUCUUUGAUUCAUUUUGCAUUAAUUUUUGUAUAUGGUAUAUUAGUCCAUUUUCACUACUGAUAAAGACAUACCUAAGACUGGGCAAUUUACAGAAGAAAGAGGUUUAAUUGUAGUUACAACUCCACAUGGCAGGGGAAGCCUCACAAUCAUGGCAGAAGGCAAGGAGGAGCAAGUCACGUCUUACAUGAAUGGCAGCAGGCAAAAGAGAGAAACUGUGCAGGGAAACUCCCAUUUUUAAAACCAUCAGAUCUCAUGAGACCCAUUCACUACCACAAGAACGGCACAGGAAAGACCUGCCCCCAUGAUUCAGUCAUCUACCACUGGGUCCUUCCCACAAAACAUGGGAAUUAUGGGAGCUACCAGAUGAGAUUUGGGUGGGGACAAAGAGUCAAACCAUAUCAGUGUGAGGUCAGGGUCCAAGGUCAUCCUUUUGCAUGUUGUUCUCCAGUUGUCCCAGGACCAUUUGUUGAAAAGAACUUUCCUCUAUUUGCUGCAUUCUUUCUUUCUUUGCUGCCUAGAGCCUUUCCCUGCUCUUCGCCCUUCUGUUACUCGUAUUUUAAGUCAAGUCUCAGCUCAGCGGUUACCCCUUCUAAGAGGCUAUCCCUGAUCGUCCCUCUGUGUGUGUGAGAGAGCCCCCUCAUGCUUUAAUCCUGAUGUUUAUCAUUGUAGGAUUUCAGCUGUUCAUCUUCCCCACUUGUUUUCCAGGCCAGGUCUUGGGAGACAGGGGCUGUGUGCUUAACAUCUUACAUUACUUAAUAUGCACUUAUAUAUAUUCAACUUCAGGGGGAAGGGGAGAUAGUACUUGAAUCACAGUGUAAUCUUCCAUUACCUGUGAACUCUAGAUUGUACAGAAAAUCCGGUUAUAACUUGUAAUUCUUUGAGUACAUCAGUAAUGCACCUUAGGUUUAAUGUGAGGAACAGGACUGAUAGUUCUCUUCAACCUAAACAUCCACUGGUAGACAGGGAAAAGCCCAGCACCCGCUCCCUGCCCCUUCUCCCUGAACCAUGGAAUGUAAGUCCUUUCAUUAGGCUACUGGGCCAAUAUUUAGACCUAAGCUCAUGGCUGGACCAAUAGUAGCCUUCAUAGAUGCCAAUGCCCUUCCUUGAUGGGCUUCAGUGAGGACUCCUGACCAAUCACUGACGAGGGGGGUGGGAGGACUUCUGAUGGGGGAGUUGGCCUCCCUGGUCCUACACCUGCCUGGAGAAGGAGCCAAAGCCACUUAAGCAAAACUGAGCAGCAGCCCACAGUGUCCAUCUACCAUGUCACCCCAGUGCUGAGCGAUUUCUAAAAGGUUACUUUUUUCAAUUAUUUAAAAAAACACCGAAAAUUCAAGUAAUACGGAAAUAAGUAAAGGAGAAAGUCCCCUGUAAUUUUUCAUAGAGAAAGAGGAAGGAAUGGGGGGCAGCUGUGUAAGUCAAACAUGUUUGUAAAACUCCGUGAGUUUGAAACUAGUAAAAUAGAAAGUGAAAACCUGCUAUAAUUAUGGUGGAAUUGAGGGUGUCUUAUUGUGUUACUAGAGAAUUUUUUAAAGUAGGUUUUUAACAUUUUGACCUUGUUAAAAUGCUCCACUUUUCAAAACAGUCCUGACAGGAUAUCCUGCUUCCUUCCACGCAGAAGAGGUGGUUUGUGCAGAAGAGCAGGCCUCAGAAUGCUUUGCACAUGAGAGGAAUGGCAAGAGUUGCCUAUCACUGAGGAUUUGGGGAGGAGGGAUCACAGGAUAUGGGACUGAAAAUGAGACAGGGCCAGAUAGCAAAAGGCCUUGAAUGCUACACUAAGCACGAAGCAGCUCCUUAAUUUGUGCAUCACUGAAGCAAGAAUAGAGUGGAGGACAUGGCCCGUGUGGUCCUCAUGUUCUGAGUGGCUAUGACAUGGAGUUCUGUGUGAGCUCUCCAUGAAGAAAAUCCCGUCUCCAGGCAGUCAGUGGAGAUUUGAUCCUUACCACAAGAGCACGUGGACAAAUUUGAAUUAUCGUGGAUGUAUAUGGGCAGAAGAAGGUCUCAGAGCCAUAAGGGUGGGGCCCUGUUAGCUCUGUUGGUUCCACUCAGCAACCCACAGUGUGAGUGGGACCCUGCCAGCCCUGCUAGACGUGAGCAUUGUCUGGUGACACUGGCCCCCGCCUUCAUUACUGCAGCAAAGGAAGUGUGGCUAUGGCAGUUGUGGGUUUUGUAUUUUCUAUUUAAAUAUGUCCCUUAAUGUGCCAGUUGUUAAAAAGACUACCAGUGGGCUCUGAAGGGAUGCCUGGACACUUUGAAAGUGUGGUUCAGAUGUGAAAUUGCACUUAAAAGAUGUUUUAAGAGAGACGAGGGCACGUUGAUGUCAGUUUCGGUUUGGGCUGUGUAGUAGCAGCAUUUUGAACUUGGCCCUCUCUCCUUUCUGAGAGCUAAAAACCUUAUCUCCCUGCGGAUGGCAUUGCGUGCAGUUAAUUAUGGCCAGAUGGACUCAGCCGCUUCUUCAUCGUCUUCUCUCGGACUCUGCAGACCUACACCGUGCCUUUAAAGGAAGCAGGGCCCUCCCUGCUGAAGCAUUCAGUGAGCCCAGGCACCAGCACCUUCAAACCGAGUCUUUUCUCUCCUUAGUGCUGCUCCCCGCUUUCCAGGCCUUCCUGGGAUAUCUUAGAGCUCCUGAAGGUGGGGCGCUCCCCUCGAGGCAUUUUCUUCUGAGCUGUGAGCUACGGGCAAGCAGUGGAGGGGGAAGAGAGCAGCUGAAGCAGAUGCCGGUUCAACUUAUUUAAAGAUGUGGGACAAGCUCUGAGGAAGCCCCCAAGACAAUGAUGUCUGGUUGUGCACCAUUGAAGCAAGAACAGAAACCAUCCCAGAGUGGAGGACAUGGCCCAUGUGGUCCUCCUGUUCUGAGUGGCUGUGAGAUGGAGUUCCGUGUGAGCUCUCUACAGAAAAAGCCCUGUCUCCAGGCAGUCAGUGGAGAUUUGUUAAACGAGUUGAAACAGAAGAGGACAAGGAAUUGCUGUGGCUUUAGACAUUGCCAGGGCAUGUAGAAACUCACUCAGGAUUUACUACUGCAUCCACUGUGACUUAGGCGCAGGAGGGGUCACAGUCAGAAGAGAGCUCAGACAUAUGCUCAGCAAGUCUUGCAGAAGGAAUGUCGUCCCAAGUUUGCCAAGACAUCAAUGGCGCUGUUAUUUGAGCACAGGUAUAGCGUGGACUUACUCCCUUUUGUGCAGAAGGCCCCCAAAGACAGUGAAGCUGAGUCCAAGUACGAUCCUCCUUUUGGGUUCCGGAAGUUCUCCAGUAAAGUCCAGACCCUCUUGGAACUCUUGCCAGAGCACGACCUCCCUGAACACUUGAAAGCCAAGACCUGUCGGCGCUGUGUGGUUAUUGGAAGCGGAGGAAUACUGCACGGAUUAGAACUGGGCCACACCCUGAACCAGUUCGAUGUUGUGAUAAGGUUAAACAGUGCACCAGUUGAGGGAUAUUCAGAACAUGUUGGAAAUAAAACUACUAUAAGGAUGACUUAUCCAGAGGGCGCACCACUGUCUGACCUUGAAUAUUAUUCCAAUGACUUAUUUGUUGCUGUUUUAUUUAAGAGUGUUGAUUUCAACUGGCUUCAAGCAAUGGUAAAAAAUGAAACCCUGCCAUUCUGGGUACGACUCUUCUUUUGGAAGCAGGUGGCAGAAAAAAUCCCACUGCAGCCAAAACAUUUCAGGAUUUUGAAUCCAGUUAUCAUCAAAGAGACUGCCUUUGACAUCCUUCAGUACUCAGAGCCUCAGUCAAGGUUCUGGGGCCGAGAUAAGAACGUCCCCACAAUCGGUGUCAUUGCCGUUGUCUUAGCCACACAUCUGUGCGAUGAAGUCAGUUUGGCGGGUUUUGGAUAUGACCUCAGUCAACCCAGAACACCUUUGCACUACUUCGACAAUCAGUGCAUGGCUGCUAUGAACUUUCAGACCAUGCAUAAUGUGACAACGGAAACCAAGUUCCUCUUAAAGCUGGUCAAAGAGGGAGUGGUGAAAGAUCUCAGCGGAGGCAUUGAUCGUGAAUUCUGAACAUAGAAAACCUCAGUUGAAAAUGCAACUCUAACUCUGAGAGCUGUUUUUGACAGCCUUCUUGAUGUAUUUCUCCAUCCUGCAGAUACUUUGAAGUGCAGCUGAAGUUUUUAACUUUUAAUUUAAAAACACACAAAAAAUUUUAGCUCUUCCCACUUUUUUUUCCCUAUUUAUUUGAGGUCAGUGUUUGUUUUUGCACACCAUUUUGUAUAUGAAACUUAAGAAUUGAAUUGGAAAGACUUCUCAAAGAGAAUUGUAUGUAACGAUGUUGUAUUGAUUUUUAAGAAAGUAAUUUAAUUUGUAAAACUUCUGUUCGUUUACACUGCACAUUGAAUACAGGUAACUAAUUGGAAGGAGAGGGGAGGUCACUCUUUUGAUGGUGGCCCUGAACCUCAUUCUGGUUCCCUGCUGCGCUGCUUGGUGUGACCCACGGAGGAUCCACUCCCAGGAUGACGUGCUCCGUAGCUAUGCUGCUGAUACAGGGUCUGCGAUACAGUGGCGUGAGGCCUGGGCUGGUCGGAGAAGGGCACAACCCUUCUCUGUUGGUCUGCCUUCUGCUGAAAGACUCAAGAACCAACCAGGGAAGCUGUCCUGGAGGUCCCUGGUCGGGGAGGGACAUAGAAUCUGUGACCUCUGACAACUGUGAAGCCACCCUGGGCUGCAGAAACCACAGUCUUCCCAGCAAUUAUUACAAUUCUUGAAUUCCUUGGGGAUUUUUUACUGCCCUUUCAAAGCACUUAAGUGUUAGAUCUAACGUGUUCCAGUGUCUGUCUGAGGUGACUUAAAAAAUCAGAACAAAACUUCUAUUAUCCAGAGUCAUGGGAGAGUACACCCUUUCCAGGAAUAAUGUUUUGGGAAACACUGAAAUGAAAUCUUCCCAGUAUUAUAAAUUGUGUAUCUAAAAAAAAGAAACUUUUCUGAAUGCCUACCUGGCGGUGUAUACCAGGCAG